This 245-nucleotide ribosomal RNA is filed under the name uncultured bacterium. RNAcentral describes it as "partial small subunit ribosomal RNA". It matches the Rfam family "Bacterial small subunit ribosomal RNA", at positions 26 to 285 of the family's 1533-position model. The record is from RNAcentral.
AGAAUCAACGCUGGCGGCGUGCCUAACACAUGCAAGUCGCACGAGAAAGGGGAGCAAUCCCUGAGUAAAGCGGCGCACGGGUGAGUAACACGUGAAUAAUCUACCUCCGAGUGGGGAAUAACUGAGAGAAAUCUUAGCUAAUACCGCAUAACACUUACGAGUCAAAGCAGCAAUGCGCUUGGAGAGGAGUUCGCGGCCGAUUAGUUAGUUGGCGGGGUAAUGGCCCACCAAGACGAUGAUCGGUA